This 443-nucleotide ribosomal RNA is filed under the name uncultured bacterium. Its description in RNAcentral is "partial 16S ribosomal RNA". It matches the Rfam family "Bacterial small subunit ribosomal RNA", at positions 338 to 795 of the family's 1533-position model. The record is from RNAcentral.
CCUACGGGAGGCAGCAGUGAGGAAUAUUGGGCAAUGGGCGCAAGCCUGACCCAGCAACGCCGCGUGAAGGAAGAAGGCUUUCGGGUUGGAAACUUCUUUUAUGAGGGACGAAAGAAAUGACGGUACCUCCUGAAUAAGCCACGGCCAACUACGUGCCAGCAGUAGCAGUAAUACGUAGGUGGCAAGCGUUAUCCGGAUGUACUGGGUUUAAAGGGCUUGUAGGCGGGACGGCAAGUCAGACGUGAAAAUCAUGGGCGGAACCCAUAGCGUGCAUUUGACACUGGAGUUCUUGAGUGAUGGAGAGGCAGGCGGAAUUCGGGGUGUAGCGGUGAAAUGCGUAGAUAUACGGAGGAACACCAGUGGCGAAGGCGGCCUGCUGGACAUUAACUGACGCUGAGGCGCGAAAGCGUGGGUAGCAAACAGGAUUAGAUACCCUAGUAGUC